UUUGCUGAUUAGGUGCAUUUUAAAAUCUAUAAAUCUAUCACAUGUAGCAGCUACUUUAAAUUUGUGUUCACAAGAGAUACUCAAGAAAAUUUAGCUCAACACAUUAUUCUCCUCCUUUUUCAUUCUUAAGAUCAAUUAUUUGAAUUGCAAUUUGGUUUAUGAUUGAUGCAUAAGAUAUAUUAACCAAAUAGCAAACCUCAAGGUGUAUUACAGAGAUUUUCAGAUGUAAAUUUCAGAUAUUUAUAAUACAUAUUGGAGAGUAUUAGGAUCACUUCUCAUUUAGUAUUCUUUCUUUUCUUCUUUAGUUAUUGAUUUAUGCGAUUAAGUUCCACAUGAUCUCUCCUAAAAAUUUUCUUUCUCCUCCUUAAUUAAACAUUCAA
This 380-nucleotide long non-coding RNA is filed under the name Phoenix dactylifera (date palm). RNAcentral's name for it is "long non-coding RNA (PDAC_LNC002715)". Lineage: Eukaryota; Viridiplantae; Streptophyta; Magnoliopsida; Arecales; Arecaceae. The record is from RNAcentral.